GUCCGAGUAGCUCAACUAAAGCAUAACAUUGAAGUUGUUAAGAUGGGACCUAGCCCCCCCCCUUGGGCG
Molecule: transfer RNA, 69 nt
Filed under: Carapus bermudensis
Lineage: Eukaryota; Metazoa; Chordata; Actinopteri; Ophidiiformes; Carapidae
Description: tRNA-Phe
Source: RNAcentral